CCUACGGGAGGCAGCAGUGAGGAAUAUUGGACAAUGGGCGCAAGCCUGAUCCAGCCAUGCCGCGUGCAGGAUGAAGCAUCUAUGGUGUGUAAACUGCUUUUAUACAGGAAGAAACCUCCCGACGUGUCGGGAAUUGACGGUACUGUAAGAAUAAGGAUCGGCUAACUCCGUGCCAGCAGCCGCGGUAAUACGGAGGAUCCAAGCGUUAUCCGGAAUCAUUGGGUUUAAAGGGUCCGUAGGCGGGCCAGUAAGUCAGUGGUGAAAUCUCUCCGCUCAACGGGGAAAUGGCCAUUGAUACUGCUGGUCUUGAAUUAUUAGGAAGUAACUAGAAUAUGUAGUGUAGCGGUGAAAUGCUUAGAGAUUACAUGGAAUACCAAUUGCGAAGGCAGGUUACUACUAAUGGAUUGACGCUGAUGGACGAAAGCGUGGGUAGCGAACAGGAUUAGAUACCCUGGUAGUCCACGCCGUAAACGAUGGAUACUAGCUGUUGGGGGCAACUUCAGUGGCUAAGCGAAAGUGAUAAGUAUCCCACCUGGGGAGUAACGUUCGCAAGAAUGAAACUUCAAAGGAAUUGACGGCUUGGNGAGNGCGAGGCGACGACGAGGGAGGAGG
RNAcentral lists this ribosomal RNA (612 nucleotides) under uncultured bacterium. Its description in RNAcentral is "bacterial SSU rRNA". It matches the Rfam family "Bacterial small subunit ribosomal RNA", at positions 338 to 951 of the family's 1533-position model. The record is from RNAcentral.